GCCCGGUUGGCACAAUUGGUUAGCGCGUGAGACUUUUAAGGAGUGGCUCAAACCCCUCUGGAGAAUGGAGAUCUCAAGGUUGGGAGUUCGAGCCUCCCAUCGGGCG
Westerdykella ornata is the source of this 106-nucleotide non-coding RNA. The record is from the annotation of a RefSeq genome assembly. NCBI's taxonomy places the organism in Eukaryota, Fungi, Ascomycota, Dothideomycetes, Pleosporales, Sporormiaceae.